Molecule: ribosomal RNA, 313 nt
Filed under: Rhipicephalus turanicus
Lineage: Eukaryota; Metazoa; Arthropoda; Arachnida; Ixodida; Ixodidae
Description: partial 12S ribosomal RNA
Source: RNAcentral
AUUAUGAAAGCAAAAAAUUAUGGCGGUAUUAUUAAGCUUUUCAGAGGAAUUUGCUCUUUAAUGGAUAAAACACCUAAAUCUUACUUAAAUUUGUUAAUUCAAUUUGUAUACCACUAUAAAAACAAUUUAUAACUUUAAUUGUUUAAAUUUAUUAAAUUAAAAUAUAUUAAGUCAAGGUGCAGUAAAAAUUUAAGAAUGAAGUGAAUUACAUUACUCUUUAGAGAAAUAAAUUUAAAAUAAUAUUUAGGAUUUGAAAGUAAAAUUAAAAUAGAAUGUUAAUUUGAAUUAAGCUCUAAAAUAUGUACACAUCGCC